GGCUGUGUGGUCUAGUGGUAUGAUUCUCGCUUAGGGUGCGAGAGGUCACGAGUUCAAUUCUCGGCACAGCCC
RNAcentral lists this transfer RNA (72 nucleotides) under Perkinsus olseni. RNAcentral describes it as "tRNA-Pro". It matches the Rfam family "tRNA". From Rfam's summary of the family: Transfer RNA (tRNA) molecules are approximately 80 nucleotides in length. Lineage: Eukaryota; Perkinsozoa; Perkinsida; Perkinsidae. The record is from RNAcentral.